RNAcentral lists this ribosomal RNA (360 nucleotides) under Triticum aestivum (bread wheat). Its description in RNAcentral is "partial small subunit ribosomal RNA". Lineage: Eukaryota; Viridiplantae; Streptophyta; Magnoliopsida; Poales; Poaceae. The record is from RNAcentral.
AUGUGGUGCAGGAUAGGAGGCCAAGGGGGUGCUGGACAAGCUGCUUCACCUCCUCCGGAGGAGAGAGCUCGUUGGGGACAGCCGCGUCAAGGAGGAGGACGUCCUGACGCCAUGGCGAUUGUUCAGGGGAAGGGCGUGCUUCUGCUGUACCAGUGCUCCUCCUUGAAGGUCGAGAAUGAGGAGCAGCACCGACGUUCGCCGCGACCGUCAUCGAGCAGGACAAGGACACAGUGUCCGCCCUCCUCCCGGACAGGCGGCUGCAGGGUGCGCCACGUCUGUGGAUCCUGCGGGAGGAGAUCCUCCGCGCCGCCCUGCUCGAGGUGGAACAUCAGAAGGCGAGGGCGCACGUGGGGGCGCUAA